UGGGGAAUUUGGACAAUGGGCGAAAGCCUGAUCCAGCAAUGCCGCGUGUGUGAAGAAGGCCUUCGGGUUGUAAAGCACUUUUGUCCGGAAAGAAAUCCUUGGCUCUAAUACAGUCGGGGGAUGACGGUACCGGAAGAAUAAGCACCGGCUAACUACGUGCCAGCAGCCGCGGUAAUACGUAGGGUGCAAGCGUUAAUCGGAAUUACUGGGCGUAAAGCGUGCGCAGGCGGUUUGCUAAGACCGAUGUGAAAUCCCCGGGCUCAACCUGGGAACUGCAUUGGUGACUGGCAGGCUAGAGUAUGGCAGAGGGGGGUAGAAUUCCACGUGUAGCAGUGAAAUGCGUAGAGAUGUGGAGGAAUACCGAUGGCGAAGGCAGCCCCCUGGGCCAAUACUGACGCUCAUGCACGAAAGCGUGGGGAGCAAACAGGAUUAGAUACCCUGGUAGUCCACGCCCUAAACGAUGUCAACUAGUUGUUGGGGACUUCAUUUUCCUUAGUAACGUAGCUAACGCGUGAAGUUGACCGCCU
This 527-nucleotide ribosomal RNA is filed under the name uncultured bacterium. RNAcentral describes it as "partial 16S ribosomal RNA". It matches the Rfam family "Bacterial small subunit ribosomal RNA", at positions 356 to 874 of the family's 1533-position model. The record is from RNAcentral.